Molecule: unclassified non-coding RNA, 447 nt
Filed under: Hevea brasiliensis (rubber tree)
Lineage: Eukaryota; Viridiplantae; Streptophyta; Magnoliopsida; Malpighiales; Euphorbiaceae
Source: RNAcentral
GGAAAACUAUGAACCCCGUAUCUCGAGAACACACUUGGCAUGGCAGUAGAUUCUUCAACUGCUAGGUGACUCAUGCGAGGAAACAUGAAACUGAGAGCAUCAAAAGUUGGCCUAAUGUCUCGCGAGAACGGACACCAGGAUGCAUAGAACAGAAUAGCAUAGUGGUCACUUUCAUGUCCACGAGCCAGCACUCCAUCGAGGUCAUCUCCACGCACCUCAACGGCCGGCCAGCGCUCGAUCCACGCCGGGCACUCCGAUCGGAGCGCGUCGAGGAACGGAUACUCCGAUCUAGGGCAGAGAUUCUCCGCCGCCGAGCUGUGGCCGAAGACGAUGAUGAGGGCGAUGAGGAGUUUGACGAGGGAUUGCGAGGUCGCCAUGGACGGGAGGGAACGGAAUCUGAAAUUGGGGGCAAAUUGCUCGCCGGAGUCGGCGAUUUUGGCCUCUUUU